UUAUAAAGUCUGCUAGGAGCACUUGGAAUUUCGUCCGACAACAGGCAACGCUGGCACAGGGAAGUGCCAGCGAGGCGCAUUUGAACAUGGAUGUGAAUAUGCGCCGGUUGCCGGAACUGAUGAAAGAUGCUAUCGAAAUUCUUAGUGCUCCGGCAGGCUUUAUGC
Molecule: regulatory RNA element, 165 nt
Organism: Roseburia sp. CAG:45
Lineage: Bacteria; Bacillati; Bacillota; Clostridia; Lachnospirales; Lachnospiraceae
Source: Rfam